Molecule: long non-coding RNA, 973 nt
Organism: Bubalus bubalis (water buffalo)
Lineage: Eukaryota; Metazoa; Chordata; Mammalia; Artiodactyla; Bovidae
Exons: 2
Source: RefSeq, a predicted model, not a curated record
GGCGGCCGUGUUCACCUGUCCCAUGCUUCCUCGCCUCACGCGGCAUCUACCUGGUGGCGCACAUACCUGGGAGAGAACAAGGGGGACCCUCCUCUUCCCACUGCUCUAUUUCUCUCUCCGUCUUUGAGAAGAAUGAGCAAAGAACCUGUCUCUCCAUCCAGAACUCCUUUGCUUUUCUCCCCAUGCCGUGGCUGCGCGCUGCCCUUCCGGGGAUCUACCUGAGCCUUUCUGGAAGGAGCGCUUACAGAAGUAUCUUGCGGUUUUUCUACCGGUGUUUGCGAAUAAUGAUCCAGUCAAGGCAAGAAUAAGAGCUUGAAAAUACAGAACACCCAAGCAUUCCCUGCUUUCUUUGCAAAAUUUCCUCUGGGAUUGGUGCUUUAAUUUCCAGUCACUCUGAGUCAAUAACAUAUGGGUUCAGUGCCAUUAUUGACUCUCACAAUUUCUUGUCUCAAUCCCAUAGUUCGUAGAGCUUGGGGCUUGGGGUCACUGGCAGGGGUUUUGAUUUGCGGCUUUCUGUGUUUACACAAAAGGGCAAGUCAAUAUCUCCCCUGUAUCGGUGAAUUCUGGACUAAACUGAUCUAUCAAGCGUUGUAAACAAAUGAAGACCUUAAAGACAGAAAGAAGCCUCUCUGGAAGUCUCCACUGCCUUUACAUUUCAUUGAAUCCACAGACUCGCUUGCUCCCCACAGAGAUCUGAGUACAGCUGAAUAAGAAAGAAAGAAAAGUCACAUGAGAAGAAUGGAAUGCUCUUACAAUAUUUUUAGGCUGCAAUGUAUACUGAAUUCCAUUCACACAGUCCUGCAGGAGGUUUCCCCUGUCUUCGCAGAACAUGCCACAACUCCUGCUUAUUGCAACAGAUACUUUCAUUUCUCAGGAACUGAUAAUAAUUAAAGAAAGAACAAACUGAGAGCCUCUUUGCAUAGGAUUGUUAAGGCAGACUUUCCCCUUUUCUUCUAUUGAUACCUCUUUUAUU